This 243-nucleotide ribosomal RNA is filed under the name uncultured bacterium. RNAcentral describes it as "partial 16S ribosomal RNA". It matches the Rfam family "Bacterial small subunit ribosomal RNA", at positions 529 to 771 of the family's 1533-position model. The record is from RNAcentral.
AGGGUGCGAGCGUUGUCCGGAAUUAUUGGGCGUAAAGAGCUCGUAGGCGGCUUGUCGCGUCUGCUGUGAAAUCCUGAGGUUCAACCUUGGGCGUGCAGUGGGUACGGGCAGGCUAGAGUGCGGUAGGGGAGAUUGGAAUUCCUGGUGUAGCGGUGGAAUGCGCAGAUAUCAGGAGGAACACCGAUGGCGAAGGCAGAUCUCUGGGCCGCUACUGACGCUGAGGAGCGAAAGCAUGGGGAGCGA